Arabidopsis lyrata subsp. lyrata is the source of this 636-nucleotide long non-coding RNA. RefSeq lists it as uncharacterized. The transcript is spliced from 2 exons. The record is from RefSeq and is a predicted model, not a curated record. Lineage: Eukaryota; Viridiplantae; Streptophyta; Magnoliopsida; Brassicales; Brassicaceae.
ACAAAAAAGUUGGAACUUGGAAAAAAAAGAGUAGACUUUCUUCUAUUCAAAUCAAAGAGCAGACUUUCUUCUGCUUUGUAAUUUCCGCGUCUCAUUGAGCUUGUAAGAUUUCUCGAAUAGUGCAUUGUUAGAUUCAAGUUGGGAUGUCGAUAGAAACCCACAAGUGGCAGCUCCUAGUCCUACGGAGGUGGAUACUGGAGCCGAGUCCUCUUUUAAUGGAAAAGAGGCUCAAUUUAGCUUCUCACCUAUCCAAGAAUCUUGAUCAAUGCUGAAGUGAAGGUAGUUGAAGAGGAGGAUAAUCUGGAAGACGAAGAAGGAAUUAAAGCCGAGGCUUCUACAAAGAAGAAAAGUAAAAACAAGUGACAAGUCAUUAUUGUUCUUUGUCUAUUAUCCUUUAGUGUUUGCUUUGAUGAUCCAAAAGUUGAUGAUUGUUAGUAGGAGGCAGAAGAAUUCACCUGAACAGACUGAUCCACCUUCAGUUCCUGUUGUUGAGCUCUUCCUUGUUGGAUGAGUGAGUUCAAAUUCCUUUGUUUUAUGUCAAAAACAAAACCUCUGGAGAAAAAGGACUGUCAUUCACAGUAUGAUGAUGUGAUGAAGUUGGAUUUUAUUGACGAUAUAGUAAAUUUUUUUUUACUU